AAACAAAAAUGUCAAACUAAACAUAUAAAUAUCAUAAGUUAUUGUUUGCAUAGUGAUGCAUUUAAAUAAUUUUAAAUAUUAUUUACAAUUAGCAGUGUAUAAAUAUAUCCUGUAUAAAACAUACAAAGGCAAAAGGUAAAAUAAAUGAAUCAAUGCUCAUUUUCAACCGUAGGAAGAAAGCAAUCACAAUCGGUGCUACUUGUAUAAUCUCUCACAGAGAAACAUAACCCCUUAAGGACACAUGGCAUGUGUGACAUGUCAUGAUUCCCUUUUAUUCCAGAAGUUUGGUCCUUAAGGGGUUAAACUUUAUAAAAGUUAAAACAUAAAAACUAAAUGCUGUUUACUUUGUCUGGUAUAUAUGUAGAGCUAUAUUAUUUUGGAUAUGGACAUUGUGUGAAGAUCUAUUUUUGUUUAGAACUGAUAAUGCAUUUUUGUUACCCACAAUGCAUUGCAAGCAAUCCCAGAAUGCAUUACAUACCGGUUCUAUAGAGCUAUGCAUUUCAUUGGAAUAUGACCAGCACAAUGUGCGUAUAACAUAUUAUUACUAUACCAGAUGCUUAUAGUUAACAGCAUUCUGCUUUGUACUUAGUACAUACAUGCAGGAUACUGGGUUGUAUAACAGAUUAUGCUA
Pelobates cultripes (western spadefoot toad) is the source of this 631-nucleotide non-coding RNA. The record is from the annotation of a GenBank genome assembly. NCBI's taxonomy places the organism in Eukaryota, Metazoa, Chordata, Amphibia, Anura, Pelobatidae.